ACGCUAAAUACCGCAUACGAUCUAAGGAUAGAAAGGCGGGGGGAUCGCAAGACCUCGCGCGAGUUGGAGCGGCCGAUAUCAGAUUAGGUAGUUGGUGGGGUAAAGGCUCACCAAGCCAACGAUCUGUAGCUGGUCUGAGAGGACGACCAGCCACACUGGAACUGAGACACGGUCCAGACUCCUACGGGAGGCAGCAGUGGGGAAUUUUGGACAAUGGACGCAAGUCUGAUCCAGCCAUUCCGCGUGCAGGAUGAAGGCCCUCGGGUUGUAAACUGCUUUGUACGGAACGAAAAGGUUUCUCUUAAUACGAGGAGCUCAUGACGGUACCGUAAGAAUAAGCACCGGCUAACUACGUG
Molecule: ribosomal RNA, 356 nt
Filed under: uncultured bacterium
Lineage: Bacteria
Description: bacterial SSU rRNA
Rfam family: Bacterial small subunit ribosomal RNA
Source: RNAcentral